GACGGGGGGGGCAAGUGUCCUUCGGAAUUACUGGGCGUAAAGCGCGCGUAGGCGGCUGUCUAAGUCGGGUGUGAAAGCCCCGGGCCCAACCUGGGAACUGCAUUCGAUACUGGACGGCUAGAGUAUGAAAGAGGGAGGUAGAAUUCCACGUGUAGCGGUGAAAUGCGUAGAUAUGUGGAGGAAUACCGGUGGCGAAGGCGGCCUCCUGGUUCAAUACUGACGCUGAGGUGCGAAAGCGUGGGGAGCAAACAGG
Molecule: ribosomal RNA, 253 nt
Filed under: uncultured bacterium
Lineage: Bacteria
Description: partial 16S ribosomal RNA
Rfam family: Bacterial small subunit ribosomal RNA
Source: RNAcentral